GCCAGCAUGGCAUAGUGGUUUGAGUGUUGGACUGCAACUCUGGAAACCAGGGUUCAAUUCCCAACUUGGCC
RNAcentral lists this transfer RNA (71 nucleotides) under Phrynosoma platyrhinos (Desert horned lizard). RNAcentral's name for it is "tRNA-OTHER". The record is from RNAcentral. Lineage: Eukaryota; Metazoa; Chordata; Lepidosauria; Squamata; Phrynosomatidae.